UUGGUCAGAGCAAACACCUCGAUUCGGCCGGGAAGGGCGUUGUGUGGACUCCGGGGAGCAGGAGGCGAGCAGGCAAAGGUUUUCGCUUUCUUGAGGCAGAUAUGCUAAGAAAGCACAGAACCAUACUGGCUGCAGCGGGUUUAACCUUCCCAAUUCCAAGAGUGGGAGAGAGGCGAUUCCACUGUGGUCUCCUAGAACUUCCAAACCCCAGAGGAAGUACCCUUCGGUGGAGACUGGGCAAUCCAUCUGCCUCUCAGACGAAAUGACUGUGUUUGGAUAUCUGUGGAGUCCUGAGUCUUUACAGCCAUCCUUUCAGUCCCUAGACAGGACUUUUCUCUGUCAAACACUCUUCCUGAAGUCUGUGAAGACCUAACUGUUCCCUCAGUAUUGGCUAAACAGCUUGAAGGGCUCGUAUUUUUAGUAGCUUUCAGAAAUAAAGGAGCUAUUAUUUAACCGGAUAAGCCAUUUCCUCCAGCAAAGUACCCCUGGCUGACCCUUGUUUACCAUCCAAUUAUCCAGCAGCAUAGUGCUAGCAACACUGUGGCCCACAGUUAAAUAAUCUCUACAAGAAAUUCACUUCAGGCUGAUUGUCAGAGUUACAUGGUCUACUUCUGGUUUCUUAUUAUUUCUUUUUUUUCUGUGUGUGUUCCUUAACAACAGGAAGGAAGUUUCUAGAAAGCUUUUUGUGACCACCCACCCCACAAAGACAAAGUCCCCCCCGCCCCCCAGUUUUGUAGGCACCCUUACUUUUUAGUCGGUUGCCCUCACUAAAUGAAAAGGGCAGGGACCUUGUCUGGCUUGUCAAGCUGCCUGUGUCCCCAGGGUUGGGCAAGAUGCCUUGCACAUAGUAUGAAAGCAGUAAAUGUUGAAUAAACAAGUACAUGGAUG
RNAcentral lists this long non-coding RNA (888 nucleotides) under Dasypus novemcinctus (nine-banded armadillo). RNAcentral's name for it is "lncRNA (ENSDNOG00000050704.1)". Lineage: Eukaryota; Metazoa; Chordata; Mammalia; Cingulata; Dasypodidae. The record is from RNAcentral.